UUCCAUCUUCUCUCUUUCUCUCUCUCUAGGGUUUUUCUCUCUCUAGAGAAAAGCCGCCGAUUCGCGCCGUUUUCGCGCCGCGUUCGUUGCUCGCUGAUAGGAGGACUCAAGGGAAGCCUUUGGCAUGUGGGGAGAAGGAGUUUUGCUGUGUUUCUUGUGAGGUUAUCACCAGGAAAGGCUGAAUCACAGCUUUAGAGAGCAGGUUCUCGAACCAUUUGGAGUUAAUUGGAUGACCUUGGGGACUGUCUCGAAGUGUUCUACAAGUGUUCUAACCUGAGUUCGCAGUGGGCUUGCAACGGACCUUCGGAUUACCUCCGGCUGAUAUGUGAGGGAUUUUGGAAACUUAACUUGAGGCUUGAGACCGAGUGGGGCUGAUCCUUGGGAUUCCUUUGGACUGAUUUGAGCUUAGUGCGAG
Ananas comosus (pineapple) is the source of this 415-nucleotide long non-coding RNA. RefSeq lists it as uncharacterized. The transcript is spliced from 4 exons. Lineage: Eukaryota; Viridiplantae; Streptophyta; Magnoliopsida; Poales; Bromeliaceae. The record is from RefSeq and is a predicted model, not a curated record.